This 484-nucleotide ribosomal RNA is filed under the name uncultured bacterium. RNAcentral's name for it is "partial 16S ribosomal RNA". It matches the Rfam family "Bacterial small subunit ribosomal RNA", at positions 30 to 507 of the family's 1533-position model. The record is from RNAcentral.
AUUGAACGCUGGCGGCAGGCCUAACACAUGCAAGUCGAGCGGAUGAAGGGAGCAUGUUCCUGGAUUCAGCGGCGGACGGGUGAGUAAUGCCUAGGAAUCUGCCUGGUAGUGGGGGAUAACGUCCGGAAACGGGCGCGAAUACCGCAUACGUCCAGCGGGAGAAAGUGGAGGAGCGUGGGACUCCGCGCUAUCGCAUGAGCCUAGGUCGGAUUAGCUAGUUGGUGGGGUAAAGGCCUACCAAGGCGACGAUCCGUAACUGGUCUGAGAGGAUGAUCAGUCACACUGGAACUGAGACACGGUCCAGACUCCUACGGGAGGCAGCAGUGGGGAAUAUUGGACAAUGGGCGAAAGCCUGAUCCAGCCAUGCCGCGUGUAUGAAGAAGGUCUUCGGAUUGUAAAGCACUUUAAGUUGGGAGGAAGGGAAGUAAGUUAAUACCUUGCUGUUUUGACGUUACCCACAGAAUAAGCACCGGCUAACUUCGUG